AGCGAACGCUGGCGGCAGGCCUAACACAUGCAAGUCGAACGGACCCUUCGGGGUUAGUGGCGGACGGGUGAGUAACACGUGGGAACGUGCCUUUAGGUUCGGAAUAGCUCCUGGAAACGGGUGGUAAUGCCGAAUGUGCCCUUCGGGGGAAAGAUUUAUCGCCUUUAGAGCGGCCCGCGUCUGAUUAACUAGUUGGUGAGGUAACGGCUCACCAAGGCGACGAUCAGUAGCUGGUCUGAGAGGAUGACCAGCCACACUGGGACUGAGACACGGCCCAGACUCCUACGGGAGGCAGCAGUGGGGAAUCUUGCGCAAUGGGCGAAAGUCUGACGAAGCCAUGCGGCGUGAAUGAUGAAGGUCUUAGGAUUGUAAAAUUCUUUCACCGGGGACGAUAAUGACGGUACCCGGAGAAGAAGCCCCGGCUAACUUCGUG
RNAcentral lists this ribosomal RNA (433 nucleotides) under uncultured bacterium. RNAcentral describes it as "partial 16S ribosomal RNA". It matches the Rfam family "Bacterial small subunit ribosomal RNA", at positions 29 to 507 of the family's 1533-position model. The record is from RNAcentral.